AAAAUUGGAAUGAUGGGCCAACGGGCCCAAUUCGGUAAGAACCCUCGGUACGUGAUUCUGUAGUACGUGAAAGGUAGGAAUAUGCAUGAAAAACCCUAAAAUAGAUAAAUUACUGAAAUACCUUUAAAAGUGGAAAGUUUACAGUUUUACCCCUAGGAGAUAAAUUACCGAAAUACCCCUAGGGUUAAAUUGACUUAAAUGCAUGUUUGACUGUUGUUAUUUAUUGCAUGCCAUGUUGUUAUCAUCUGAUGCAUGGGAUUGGGAUAUUGACGGAGGAAGUACUGAAAGUGGCUUGUCCACAUACUGGAGGCUUUGCCUCAAUUUAC
RNAcentral lists this long non-coding RNA (326 nucleotides) under Gossypium barbadense (sea-island cotton). RNAcentral describes it as "long non-coding RNA (GBAR_LNC005776)". The record is from RNAcentral. Lineage: Eukaryota; Viridiplantae; Streptophyta; Magnoliopsida; Malvales; Malvaceae.